AUGUUGAUCAGCGUGGACUUGCCUGCGCCGUUGGUGCCGAUGACGGCAUGGACCUCGCCCUGGUGCAGAUCCAGGUCCACAUU
This 83-nucleotide transfer RNA is filed under the name Comamonas thiooxydans. RNAcentral's name for it is "tRNA-Thr". Lineage: Bacteria; Pseudomonadati; Pseudomonadota; Betaproteobacteria; Burkholderiales; Comamonadaceae. The record is from RNAcentral.